Molecule: ribosomal RNA, 465 nt
Filed under: Vreelandella stevensii
Lineage: Bacteria; Pseudomonadati; Pseudomonadota; Gammaproteobacteria; Oceanospirillales; Halomonadaceae
Description: partial 16S ribosomal RNA
Rfam family: Bacterial small subunit ribosomal RNA
Source: RNAcentral
CCUACGGGCGGCUGCAGUGGGGAAUAUUGGACAAUGGGCGAAAGCCUGAUCCAGCCAUGCCGCGUGUGUGAAGAAGGCCUUCGGGUUGAAAAGCACUUUCAGUGGGGAAGAAAGCCUUGGGGCUAAUACCCUCGAGGAAGGACAUCACCCACAGAAGAAGCACCGGCUAACUCCGUGCCAGCAGCCGCGGUAAUACGGAGGGUGCGAGCGUUAAUCGGAAUUACUGGGCGUAAAGCGCGCGUAGGCGGUCUGAUAAGCCGGUUGUGAAAGCCCCGGGCUCAACCUGGGAACGGCAUCCGGAACUGUCAGGCUAGAGUGCAGGAGAGGAAGGUAGAAUUCCCGGUGUAGCGGUGAAAUGCGUAGAGAUCGGGAGGAAUACCAGUGGCGAAGGCGGCCUUCUGGACUGACACUGACGCUGAGGUGCGAAAGCGUGGGUAGCAAACAGGAUUAGAUACCCCAGUAGUC